This 52-nucleotide transfer RNA is filed under the name Beta vulgaris subsp. vulgaris (sugar beet). It matches the Rfam family "tRNA", at positions 21 to 71 of the family's 71-position model. Rfam says of the family: Transfer RNA (tRNA) molecules are approximately 80 nucleotides in length. Their secondary structure includes four short double-helical elements and three loops (D, anti-codon, and T loops). Lineage: Eukaryota; Viridiplantae; Streptophyta; Magnoliopsida; Caryophyllales; Amaranthaceae. The record is from Rfam by way of RNAcentral.
GAGCGCUUCAAUGGCAUUGAAGAGGUCGUCGGUUCGAUCCCGAUCAGCUCCA